This is a long non-coding RNA of Numida meleagris (helmeted guineafowl), 2382 nucleotides long. The record is from Ensembl. NCBI's taxonomy places the organism in Eukaryota, Metazoa, Chordata, Aves, Galliformes, Numididae.
CGUCCCCAUGUCCCCACUGCCCCACGCUGUCCCCACAUUGUCCCCACUGCCCCACGCUGUCCCCAUUGUCCCCAGUGUUCCCCAUUGUCCUCCAUUGUCCCCCAUUGUCCCCAUUGACCCCCACUGUCCCCAAAUGCCCCCCCGUGUUGUCCCCACUCACCCCCAUUGUCCCCCAUGGACUCACACUGUCCCCACUGCACCUCAUUGUCCCCCAAUGUCCCUGUUGUCCCCACUGACCCCAUUGUCCCCCAUGGUCCCACACUGUCCCCAUUGUCCCCACUGUCCCCAUUGUCCCCCAAUAUCCCCAUUGUCCCCCAUGGACCCACACUGUCCCCAUUGUCCCCAGUGCCCCCACUGACCCACACUGUCCCCACUGUCCCCAUUGCACCUCAUUGUCCCCACUGUCCCCCAUUGUCCCCAGUGUCCCCAUUGACUACCACUGUCCCCAUUGUCCCCAUUGCACCUCAUUGUCCCCAAUGUCCCCACUGUCCCCAUUGACCCCCACUGACCCACAUUGUCCCCAGUGUCCCCCAUUGUCCCCCACUGUCCCCAUUGACCCCCACUGACCCACACUGUCCCCAUUGUCCCCACUGACCCACAUUGUCCCCCACUGUCCCCAUUGACCCGCACUGACCCCCAAUGUCCCCAUUGCACCCCAGUGUCCCCCAUUAACCCCCACUGUCCCCAUUGACCCCCACUGACCCACACUGUCCCCACUGUCCCCAUUGCACCUCAUUGUCCCCAAUGUCCCCCUUUGUCCCCACUGACCCACAUUGUCCCCCAUUGACCCCCACUGACCCACACUGUCCCCAUUGUCCCCAGUGCCCCCACUGACCCACAUUGACCCCCACUGUCCCCAUUAACCCCCAUUAUCCCCAUUGACCCACCCUGUUCCCAUGGACCCCCCACUGUCCCCAUUGUCCCCAGUGUCCCCCAGUGUCACAAUGGGACACGUGUCCCCAGCAGUCCUCCAAUGUCACACCCAGACACGUGUCCCCAACAGUCCUCCAAUGUCACACCGGGACACGUGUCCCCAACAAUCCCCCGGUGUCACAAUGGGCCACGUGUCCCCAGCAGUCCGCCGGUGUCACACUGGGCCAGGCAUCCCCAACAGUCCCCUGGUGUCACACCAGGACACGUGUCCCCAACAGCCCCCCACUGUCACAAUGGGACACGUGUCCCCAACAAUCCGCCGGUGUCACACCAGGACACGUGUCCCCAACAGUCCAUCAGUGUCACAAUGGGACACAUGUCCCCAACAGUCCCUCGGUGUCACACCAGGACACGUGUCCCCCAACAGUCCCCCAAUGUCACACACGGACACAUGUCCCCAGCAGUCCUCCAACAUCACAGGGGGGCCACGUGUCCCCAGCAGUCCCCCGGUGUCACACCGGGCCACGUGUCCCCAGCAGUCCCCCGGUGUCACGAUGGGCCAUGCGUCCCCAUUGUCAGACGAGGACGUGCGCCACGGGCACCUUGGUGGGGCGGCCGCCCCGUGGCACCAGGAGGUCCCCGUCCGCGUCCUCGGCGCUCACCGGCGGCUCUGGGGACAGGGGACAGCGUUAGGGGGCACGGGGGGGGGACAGGGGGUGACACAUGGGGUGACACGGUGACACACAUGGGGGACAAACGGGUGACAAGGGGGGACGUGGUGGUGACACAUGGGGUGACGUGGUGACACACACCGGGGACAGAUGGGUGACACAUGGGGUGAUGCGGUGGUGACACACAUGGGGGACAAACAGGUGACACAUGGGGUGACGUGGUGGUGACACAUGGGGUGACGUGGUGACACACAUGGGGGACAGGUGACAAGGGGUGACGUGGUGGUGACACAUGGGGUGAUGUGGUGGUGACACACAUGGGGGACAGAUGGGUGACACGGGGUGACAUGGUGACACACAUGGGGGACAGACAGGUGACAAGGGGUGACAUGGUGGUGACACAUGGGGUGACGUGGUGACACACAUGGGGGACAAACAGGUGACACAUGGGGUGACACGGUGACACACAUGGGGGACAGACGGGUGACACAUGGGGUGACACGGUGACGCACAUGGGGGACAAACGGGUGACACAUGGGGUGACACGGUGACACACAUGGGGGACAGACGGGUGACACAUGGGGUGACGUGGUGGUGACACAGGGGACUUGCACGGGGGGAUGUGGGGGACAUGCAGGUGACAUUGGGGUGACAGAUCACAAGGGGUGACAAGGAGGUGACAUACAAGUGACACAGAGGUGACACGUAGGGGUGACAAGUCACAAGGGGGGGACACGGGGGUGACACGGGGGGGUGACACCUAGGGGUGACGUGGAGGACACACGAGUGACACGGAGGUGACACCAAGGGUGACAGGUCACAAGGGGGGGACACGGGG